This 476-nucleotide ribosomal RNA is filed under the name uncultured bacterium. RNAcentral's name for it is "partial 16S ribosomal RNA". It matches the Rfam family "Bacterial small subunit ribosomal RNA", at positions 28 to 523 of the family's 1533-position model. The record is from RNAcentral.
GACGAACGCUGGCGGCGUGCCUAACACAUGCAAGUCGAGCGAUGAAACCCUUCGGGGUGGAUUAGCGGCGGACGGGUGAGUAACACGUGGGUAACCUGCCUCAUAGAGGGGGAUAGCCUCCCGAAAGGGAGAUUAAUACCGCAUAAUGUAUUUUGUUCGCAUGAAUAAAAUAUCAAAGGGGUGAUCCACUAUGAGAUGGACCCGCGGCGCAUUAGCUAGUUGGUGAGGUAACGGCUCACCAAGGCGACGAUGCGUAGCCGACCUGAGAGGGUGAUCGGCCACCAUGGAACUGAGAAACGGACCAGACUCCUACGGGAGGCAGCAGUUGGGAAUAUUGCGCAAUGGGGGAAAACCUGACGCAGCAACGCCGCGUGAAUGAUGAAGGCCUUAGGGUUGUAAAGUUCUGUCUUCUGGGACGAUAAUGACGGUACCAGAGGAGGAAGCCACGGCUAACUACGUGCCAGCAGCCGCGGUAA